Long non-coding RNA from Maylandia zebra (zebra mbuna), 318 nucleotides. RefSeq lists it as uncharacterized. The record is from RefSeq and is a predicted model, not a curated record. NCBI's taxonomy places the organism in Eukaryota, Metazoa, Chordata, Actinopteri, Cichliformes, Cichlidae.
AAAGACGACUGUUUUUAGCUAAAAGACCUGAAGAGUCAGCAUGAAUUCUGCUCCCAGCACAGUGAUGCCACAGACACACAGCUCAGGCAGAGUUGGCGACACUUUGAGGAGCAGCUGAAGGUCCGGGUGAGCUGAAGAGAGCGAUGCUGAGCUGACCUGAGUUAAAAGGGAUCCAGUGCAAAACAGUGGCAAGAGGGCAGGCAGGUGCCAUACUGAAAUCCUUCCCAGGAGUCAGAGCGUGAAACAGGUGCUGUGACCAGAGAGCUGUAGCACAAGAAAAGCAAGUGAGUUCUGCAGCUGAAUGACAGCAUGGCAGCA